Homo sapiens (human) is the source of this 1432-nucleotide long non-coding RNA. Ensembl annotates it as long intergenic non-protein coding RNA 2893. Lineage: Eukaryota; Metazoa; Chordata; Mammalia; Primates; Hominidae. The record is from Ensembl.
CUCUACAUCAAAACCGUUCAGGUUCAAAGUCCAGGCUUUCUGAUGUUCCUUCUUGGUGGGCGUCUGGCUGUUUUCAGGCUGGUUCUCCUUGCUCAGGAGGAAGCUGGCAACCUCCAUCUGGGCAGCACUGCGAUGGGGGAUAUAGCGGUCACCGCCAGGUUUGCUAGGAGUGGUCUGAACCUUGGAACUGGAUUUGCCAGGAGUUCGGCCCGGAGUCCUGCUGGCGCUGUGGGAUCGGUUGGCGGCCCGCAUGGAGUCCAACCAGGAUGGCGACUUGACUGGAUUUUACAGUUUCAUUGACACGCAUGAGCUCUAUCAAACUUCUGGGAGUUUUUCUGAAAUGUUUACAUGGAAGGCACCUGGAGCCCAUUGAAUUUCCCUCUUCAAAUGCUUAAGUUUUCUUCUGUCUUGGUGGCUACUGCCUCCUUCUCACUUUCUGCCUUAGGUCAAGAUAAAUGAGUUUUUCCCCAAGAAAGCCAUAUGGAUCUCUGAGGUUUUGAACUCUAACCAAUGCUAUCUCGUUGAUUGCCUUUGGAUUUCAGGGUCUUAUUUUACGUCAACCUCAGCCUCUCUCUUCUGCAGUUCCAUAUCCACAUGAGCUACAAGAGUCCCAUGUAGGUCCCUUCCUCUGCUAAUAGCUGCCUCAUUGUACUGCUUCUGUAUUCACUUCAGAGAUAGAGGAUCAAAUGGUAGAAACUUUUGGCAAACUUUUGACCAGAGAAUGGCUUACAUGGGAAUUAAUUAUGCACUUGUUCGUUUUACUCUAUAGAACAAUCCCAUCUGUAUUGGAUCUGUAUGUUCCAUCUCCCAUGUGAAAGAAGCACCCUACAAAGAUAACUUCAGUCUGGGCACAGUGGCUCACACCUGUAAUCCCAGAACUUUGGGAGCCUGAGUGGGGAGGAUCUUUUGAGCCCAGGAGUUCGAGACUAGUCUGGGCAACAAAGAGAGACCCUGUUUCUAAAACAAAAAUAAAAACAAAGAUAUCUUCCGAGCCUGUUCAGUCUUUGGUCCUGGUUUAGAUAUAGGUAUAUAGAGAGAGCUAUUUGAGUAAUCAAUUCCCAAUAUGGUAUGAUUUGAGCAUUUGGAGAGGUCUUCUUUACAUAUCAUAGUACUUAGAUUAUUACCAAUAAAUAUUUUUCUUUUGGGGUUAACAUUACAGUAAUAAUAUAUUUUGAAUCUAAAAUUUGGAUGGAGACACAGGACACAGAAUAUAUAAUGCUCAAAAAAUGUAAUGCUCAAUGAAUGUCUCUAUCAUAUUCUUUUUUGUUGUUGUUGUUGUUAUAUAGAUGAGGCCUUCCUAUAUUGUCCAGGCUGGUCUCAAACACCCAGCUUUGCCUCCUUAUGUGCCAGGAAAACAGGCCUGAGCCACCAAGACUCUCAAUAUAUUAUUAAAAUAUAAACAAAUUACUUGAAGUGGUACCCCUCAAAAUAA